This is a long non-coding RNA of Lagopus leucura (white-tailed ptarmigan), 349 nucleotides long. RefSeq lists it as uncharacterized. Lineage: Eukaryota; Metazoa; Chordata; Aves; Galliformes; Phasianidae. The record is from RefSeq and is a predicted model, not a curated record. The transcript has 2 exons.
CGUCAGCGGAACCGGUCGUGGGUUUCAUACGUCACUUCCGCUCUACCUGGCGGCGCUGUACAACCGUACGGAAGCUGCAGCUACCCGCCAUGGAUCCGCAGGGACGGCGCGAUCCGCGCCCGCUCUACCGCCUGGUGCUGGCCGCUGUGGUGCUGCUUUCCUGGGGCUACGUCCUGUACGGGGCCCGGGAGGCGGCGCGGCGGCAGCUGCAGGGCGAGCUGGCGGUGCCUCGGCUGCCAUAGGCGGAGCGGGAGGACGGCGGCGUGGUCUCCGAGGGAGCCGUCGGAGGACGGGAGGAGCUGCACGGUCAACUGGGCGAAUAAAGGCUGAGCUGCUUUCGUGAAAAAAA